RNAcentral lists this long non-coding RNA (6199 nucleotides) under Sus scrofa (pig). RNAcentral's name for it is "lncRNA (ENSSSCG00045005077.1)". Lineage: Eukaryota; Metazoa; Chordata; Mammalia; Artiodactyla; Suidae. The record is from RNAcentral.
CACCACAGCUCACAGCAAUGCCGAUCCUUCACCCACUGAGCGAGGCCAGGGAUUGAACCUAAAACCUCAUGGUUCCUAGUCGGAUUCGUUAACCACUGCGCCACAACGGGAACUCCUUGAUGUGUUUCUUAAUCUGUCACCAUUUCCUAUUCUGGAGUAAGACAAAGUAUGAGCUAUUUUCUUUCCUUCCUUUGGUUUUGACUUUACAGAGCUUUAUAUUGUUAAAUAAAACUAGAUAAAGCAGAAAACUAUACUAUGUAUUUUAGACUGAAAUUUUGACUUUGGUGACAAAUAGUUUUUAUUGGAAUUUUAUGUUAACCCAUUUUUAUGCUUAUCAAUUAAGAAAUGGUUCAUGGCAAAGUUAUCACUUUAUUAAUGAAAAAUUUAAAAGCUCAUUAUAGCAUUUUCCAUGGGUGGAAACACUGACAAAAUUAAAAAUAUGAUAGAAAAGUUCAGGCUGUUUAUGCAAUUUUAAUAGCCCAUAUUUAUAGCAACUUGUGUGUAAAAGAAGCACAUUAAUUAGUAAUAAUGCUGGUUGAAUUAUUUUUUUGGCACUAACAUGUCUCUAGGGCUGAUGUUAGAUGAAUUUAACUUUUUUUUGGAUAUUAUUGCUAUGAUUAACUGUUUUAACAUCAGAUGACAGUAUAUAGAAUAAUGUCAGUGUAAUGUAGUAUUACAACAGAACUGACCUAUAGAGGUUUAAGUCCACCUUCUAGUACUCAGUAUUAAAUGACGUGUUUCUAAGUGCAUUCCUUGGAUUCAGUGGGUUGCACACUGAAUUUCUAUGACUAUUCACAUAUUAAUGAAAUUAAAAUCUUUCAACGAGAUGUAAGAAUUUUGUCUCGUCCAUAAUGAAGACAUGUUCCAUCCUAUGGUGAGAGUAAGUGUCCAAGAAGUUUAUUUUUGGAAUGAAUAAUCACAUAACUAAGUAUACCUAUAGCUAAAGUUUGCCUGAAUCCAUUAUCCUUCUAUGCUUUGGGCAUAUGUUUCCAGAAGCCUUGCAAUAAAUAAGUGGCUAGACUACCAUAAUUUAGUUUAUUAAACUAAAAUUGUUUGGGCCUUUAAAUUUUUUUGAUGCAGUUCGCUGUCCACUCUUCUGAUUUUACUUACUAUCAGCGAUUUUGAGGUUCUUUGAAGAUAUUAAAUAAGCUGACAGUACAGUUAGCAUUUAGCUGCUAUAUUCCUCCAAACACAUGUCACAAAACAAGGUAUUACUUUUUGUUGUGUUUAUAAAGGGUAAACAAAUGGAAGUUCCUGGGUCAGGGAUUGAAUCUGAGUUGCAGCUGCAGCCUAUGCUGAAGCUGCAGCAUUGACAGAUCCUUUAACCUACCUGCCAGGCGGGGAUCGAACCCACAUCUCAGCAGUGACCCAAGUCACUGCAGAGACAAAGCUGGAUCCUUAACCCUUUACACCACAGUGGGAACUCCUAUCUUCUACUUUUAAAGUAAAAAAUCACCUUAUAUUAUUUCACUAUAAUUAUCUUUUAUUUAAAUGUAUCAUUUUUUAGAUUAUCAAAGUGCAUAUAAUUUUAAUGUGUGAUCCAUCUGUUUGUGCCAACUUUAUCAUUUUAAAAUGUGCCUAUUUAGAGCCUCAUUUCAGCUGUCAAUAAAAAUGGAAUAAUUAAAAAAUGGUUUACUGUUACAUCUAGCUAGUAAUUCAUCAUGGCCCUAGGGUACUAUUUUCUAUGGUUUUCCAUCUUAGGUCAUAAUACAGAGACAUUUCUACUUUUAUAUUUCUACUUGAAUUGCUUCUGCUUAAUGGCUGAUAAGCUUAUCAUUGCUUUGUUCUGAUCCACCUAAGUUUCACCACCUAUAGUAGAAAGAAAAUUAACCUAAGUUUGCAUAUUUUACUGAGUUUUUAAUAUCUGUUUUUUAAAUAAUUCUUUUAUGUCACAUAUUAUUACCCUUAAUUUAAGCAUUUCUUUAAGGUUUUCUUUCAGUUUGCUUCCUGCAAGGUAAUUCUGACAGUUAAAAUUGUCAGAAUUUGAUACAUCUGAUACAUUGGUAACCCUUCCUUAUCCUUUUACUAGGCUUUUUGGUAGGCUAAACUCAAAAAGAGAACAGCUGCCACAACUCAAAACAGGAAGUCAUGUGGUCUUUCUUUGUACUCCUAUCUUUCAGGACUGACUUGGCUCCCUCUGCUGGUUAGUAUUAUAAUUCCUUUCUUAGUUCAAUAGGGUUAUGUACUGUCUUGGUGAAACAUUUGGGGUGAAUAAGCUUUGGUUCAAUAAGUGAGAGAUUCUCACAUCAAUUCUCUAGAAAAUUUUAUUGUUUAGCUAAGGUUUUAACCAAACCAUAUCUUAAAUAUCUAUAACUGAAAAAGAGCUGGUAUCAUAUGUCUGGAAAAAAAACUUUUAUUAUUAAUACUCUUAAACAAACUUACAAUACUGAAAUCUAUACUGAAAUAGGUGAAACUGUAAGUAGUGAAAUGUUUUAAAUUUUCUGAAGUGUCUAAAUUUUAUUAAAACAUUUCAGUAUAACAUAAUUCUUAUUUUCUGUCUGGUAGGUAAUUUUCAUCUCACUUAUAGUAUAUUGUCUCCCUUUCAAUUCUACACACAAUUCUCUCCUUUAGAAAUUUCCCCCUUUUAAAUCUUGUACACAAUUUAAAAUACAUUUAUUUAAAUAUAUAGAAUGAAUUAGAUGGCAAAUGAAAGUUAACUAUUUCCUUUAAGAAAUUGUAUUUACUUUGGCUAGAAAAAGAAAAGCCUUAUUGAAAGCUUGUUAUUUUUCAGGAGUUUCUAUCAUUUUCAGGGAAUAACUAGUUUGUAUGAUAAUUUGUAAAGGUAGCAGUCUGCUUUGCACUCCUAUGAUAAUAAACAUCCAUUUUAAGAUCAAAGGGAACGUGGGAAGAAGUAGAAAAAUAUUUUUUGCCUUAUAUUUAUUAUUUUGCUGUAUUGGGCAUCUGAGAUUAGAAAAUAUGCUACAACAAAUCAAUAAUAGUCAUGAACCUAAACACACCAAAUUUAGCUCUACUAGGAAAAUAAUUCCUUCUCACAACUUCAACCAUAUUUGACAUUCCUACAUAGUUUUAUUACCUACCCUUUACCUUAAAACCACCUUUCUGAAACCACCAUCACACUCUUCUAAAAUAUCCUGGUGUCUCCUCUAAAAUUCUUCACUAUUUCUUAGGCAAUCACAACUGUCUAGCAUUCCUCUUUUUCAUUUUCUAAGGAGGGAAGUAAGGAAAACCUGAACUACAGAUAAAACAAAGCACUACUUUUUUUGGCAUAUAUGCAUAAUAGAAAAUAUUAUUUUACAAGGUAACGCAGUUCAUACACACACAUAAAUGGAAUGUUUAUUUAAAAAUACAGACUUUACCCUGUGUGAUAAACUCUCAGAUUUUCUAUUCUUUCCUCUAUUUCAAAUAAAAAAAUGCUAACCUCAACCCAAUGAAUUUAUUUCAUGACCCAUAAUGGCACAUGACCCAGUUUUAAAACACUGGUCCUGAGGAGAUGCUUUGAAAUUAGCAUCAUAAGUACUCCCUUCAGACCUAUUUUAGAUAUUAAAUUUUUAGUGGAUUUUGUAUUGUUCUUUCAUAGAUAAAAUCAUUUUUUAAAUGAUGUUGUUCCAGAUUAGUUUAGUAUUAAAAUGCAUGUAGAUUUUAAUUGUUUCACAUUUAGCAUAUCUGUAGGUUUCAUUAAGAUUAGGCUUUCAUGAAAAUUUAAUGACCCCAAAUAAUUUUAUACUGAAUUUAUAUUUCAGAAAUGCACUUUUGGGGGACCCUACAGUAUUCAGUGCACAGUGCAACUUGAAAUGUAAUAUAACCCAUAACCAAUCACUUUGAUUCAGGAACAUAAGUUACAGAUACACAAAAAUAUAAAACAACAUAGGAAAGUUAUAGAAUUAUAAAUGGAUGGUAUGAAUAAUAAAAAUCUAAAAAUUUAGACAAAAUCCUUAAUUAGAGGCAAGAAGGAUUAAUGAAAAGACAAAGCUUAUUCCCAAAGGCUAACAUGAAGAAAGUCAUCCAGGGAAAAAGAACCACUCAUUUCUAUCAUCUUAACAAAAAUGGAUAAAAUAUGUUGAAUAAUCAUAAACACUAUCACAAAUUUGAUUAAGGUAUUUACUUUGAAAACUUGAAAUAAAAACAUUUACAGACUGAUAUUUUUGUAGCUCAACUUCCGAUCAACAGCUAUAAUUAACUCUUUAUCAAAGUUAAAAUAAGCCAUCCUAAAAGUAACUUUAAUUAUCCUCUGCAUGAAAUAAUUUUGGUAGUUUGAAAUAAUCUACAGAAUAUACAUACGUCUUUUACUUUUAAAAAUUUGUUUCUGUAAGUUAAUUUUAUCACUAACAAAUGACAGAACUUGUAGGCAUAAAAUAAGAUUUUCUAAAAUUUUUCAUUUCUAUCAUUUUAUGACAGAUUAUCUUGAAGAUAAAAUAUUUUCAAUAAAAUUGAUAAUUUGCCAAUUGUACCAGUUCUCGAUGAUAUUCAAGUUAAUACUUAAAAUCCAUUUUAAAAUAUCUUAUCAAAUUGUUUGCAGUUUACUAAUCAAGGAUAUAUAUGGGAAUACCCAGAAAUAAUAUUAAUAAUUAUUAAAAUAGUUAUUUAAUUUAAUAACUGGCAAAUAAAAUGAGUAGUGCAACUCAAUACUUAAAGCAAGGAGGCAGUAUUAGUUUCGAUUAAAAAGUUUAUUGGGCUACCCUACAAACUAAGAAUUGAUAAAUCAAGGAUAUAACAAUAAAACAUAAGGCCACCAUAAAUCAAUUGAUUUUGGACAUAAAGAUUUCCAAAUGUAAGAGUAAAAUAAAUGGAUGGUAUUGAUGAAAAUAUUAGGCAAAACAAAACCCAAAACCAAAAAACAGGGCAAUUUAAUAAACACUAAGAUAUUAAUAGAUCUUACACAAGAUCUCAAUUUGUAUACUUUAGGCAAGCAAAACAAUUAAUUUAAUGGAGAAAUGCACGGAUAUGCAUUAAAACAAUUUCAUUAUCUCUACGAUUUGGAAAAAAAAUUGGUAUAAACUGUACACAAGUUAAAACACUUAAAGGCAGAGACUAUUUUUAUUUACCAUAGUAUAGAAGGUGCCCAUCAUAAAGCUGAUUCUAGCACCUAGUAAGUCCUUAAUAAGUAAAUGAGGGAAGGAACUGAAAAAUAUCUGAAACUUUAAAUGCUACAAUAAUGCCAAGAAUUUUGUUACCUAGACAUGCAAAAUUAUCAGUUUACCAGAAACAUUUAAGUAUAUAAUUGUACUUCUCUGAGCAAACUGAAAUAUUAGUGUUUUGAAAUUGAGUGAAAAACAAUUCUGAGCCAGCUGUAUAUUACUUAAAACUGUUCUCAAGAUUAAUAGGUAAACUUAUAAUGAACAAACUUGGAUUAAACAAUGUUUAAUUAAUUGAUGGUUAUAAAAUACCUACCAAGACCGUCCUUUGUCAAAAAAAUUCCAUACAUAAAAUAUGAUUAUUUGUAAUACCACUGACAAAGUCUUAUAGCAUAGUUGUUUGUAUACUGACAUAUGUAUUUUAACAUAAAUACCCUGUCUAUCCAACCACCAGGAAAUAAAAUCUCUCCACCUGUUUCAGUUUUCAAAAAAAAAUUAUCAAUUAAUUUAUUGGUAUACUUGGUGCUAUCAUAAAGUAAAUGUAAAUGAACAGCAAACUAAAAGAUGAAUUAAAAUAUCCACACUAAGCCUGACUUCAGCUUUCACUGAACCUUUUCUCCAGAAGGAAACUGUAAAAAUAAAUCUCACUAGCGUUUGCUUUGCUUGACAGCAUAAUUGAGUAGUAACCAAAAUAGCCGUAUGUGGUCCUUUAAGCUUCAGAAACGCGCACCUUUUGAAUCAUCGUGCCGGGCACUUUGUACCUGACAGAUUUGCUGAAUGAACUUUUCCAGUAAUGCUGGCUUUGGGCUAAGCCAACCAAAUUUUCAGACUUUAGUGAAAAUAGCAUUUUUCAAGAAAGAGGGCAGACAGGAUGAAGAACGAAGUUUGUGACUCAGGAAGAAAGCUAACUUGCCCAACAUGAAUAUGAUCAUAUAAUCUAAUAAUGGACUGUCCACUAGCAAGCCCAUUUACAGAAACCUAAAAACAAAUAAUUAUCACUAUUUUGAGGGCUUCUGGUGUUGUGGAGGGCUUUCAAUGUCUAGAAGUAGUGUGUUUUCCUAGAAGUUUGUAAUAAACUUGCAUUUUUUUCCCUAGUAUUUUUUGUUUUCAGAAAUCUUUCAUAAAGUUCUCUCACAUACCCAUGUAAGGGACAGAGAUGGGAAGUU